UAAUCAUGAACAUAAUCUGAAUGAAAAUACAGCACUCACGUGAGCCACCUCCUCUAUUCCAUCCAGCCUUCCCUUGAACAAAGGCUGCCAGAAGGAGCAUGGGGCCAUGGCCAGCUGGCACAAGAUGAAGCUAUCUGAAGGUUGCUCUAAUCUACUCAGUGGGAUUGACCCAGUACUGAAUUGCCCCAGGAGAAGGAGAGUGUAAAGGUGGCUUAAAGGAACCCUGCCUCAUUCAGUGCAUAGGAUGGAGCUGCGCUGGGGAUGAAUCAGCUCUGUAUAGAGAAGACAGUUGUCUGUAGAACUCCUGCCUCAUUUGUUGGAUGGUGUGUAACGAACAAGGCCGGGAACUGUAGGAAGAGAAAAGGAUGAUCUUAUGGUUAAGGCAGUUGAAUGCUACCCUGGUGAACGGUACCUAUGCCUUUGCCAGAGUACGUAUAUGAUGCUGGGCAAGUCACCUUCACAUGUGGUCACUAACUGUAUGUUCCUCAUUUUCUGGGUGUCUGAUUCAAACUCAGUCUGACUUGCACAAGUGCUGAGCACACACCCCUGCAACUGAACUCAGUGGGCGCUGCACACUGAACACAGGAAGUGCUAAUAAUGGAAAGUACUGUGAAUAAUCAGGUACUAGGCAUCUGAUAUCGGGCAUCCAAAAAUAAUGGAUUUUUUUUAUCUUAAUCUCUCUGUGCCUCAAAUCCCCAUCUGUGAAAUGGGGAGAAUAUCCUUUCAUGUCAUGAGGUGUUGUGCAAAUACAUUCAUUAAUGUCCGUGAACCACUCAGGUACUACACUGAUGAGUGCCAUAGAAAAAGUUUAUAAGAAAAUUAUUCUGUCCUCAGAGCAUGCUUUGAAUAGUGUGCAGCAAAUAAGACUGAGGGUCACACAUUGAACAAUGAGGAGAAAACAAAAUGUUGAAAAGCUGCCCAUUAAAUGAGCACUGUCCAUAAUGUGUGCUGAAUGAGACAAGAGUCCAGUGGAAUAAAUACUACGUGAUCAUGUAAUCAAACACUUUGUCAUUAUGCAUAUGAACAAGG
Caretta caretta (loggerhead turtle) is the source of this 1029-nucleotide long non-coding RNA. RefSeq lists it as uncharacterized. NCBI's taxonomy places the organism in Eukaryota, Metazoa, Chordata, Testudines, Cheloniidae. The record is from RefSeq and is a predicted model, not a curated record.